This 83-nucleotide transfer RNA is filed under the name Flavobacterium aquatile. RNAcentral's name for it is "tRNA-Leu". It matches the Rfam family "tRNA". From Rfam's summary of the family: Transfer RNA (tRNA) molecules are approximately 80 nucleotides in length. RNAcentral also lists the same sequence under 1 other name. Lineage: Bacteria; Pseudomonadati; Bacteroidota; Flavobacteriia; Flavobacteriales; Flavobacteriaceae. The record is from RNAcentral.
GCCCGGAUGGCGGAAUUGGUAGACGCGCACGACUCAAACUCGUGUACGAAAGUGUGUGGGUUCGAUUCCCACUCUGGGUACUA